RNAcentral lists this ribosomal RNA (406 nucleotides) under uncultured bacterium. RNAcentral describes it as "partial 16S ribosomal RNA". It matches the Rfam family "Bacterial small subunit ribosomal RNA", at positions 30 to 526 of the family's 1533-position model. The record is from RNAcentral.
AUUGAACGCUGGCGGCAGGCCUAACACAUGCAAGUCGAACGAGUGGCGGACGGGUGAGUAAUGUGGGGGUAACGGCCUGAUGGAGGGGGAUAACAACUGGAAACGGUAGCAACUACCGCAUGCAAUAAGAUGUGCCGAGCUGGGAUUAGCUUGGUGGUUGGGUAACGUCUCACCAAGGCGACGAGCCCUAGCUGGGCUGAGAGGAUGACCAGCCACACUGGAACUGAGACCCGGUCCAGACUCCGACGGGAGGCAGCAGUGGGGAAUAUUGCACAAUGGGCGCAAGCCUGAUACAGCCAUGCCGCGUGUAUGAAGAAGGCCUUCGGGUUGUAAAGUACUUUCAGCUGGGAGGCGUUACCCGCAGAAGAAGCACCGGCUAACUCCGUGCCAGCAGCCGCGGUAAUUC